Hippocampus zosterae (dwarf seahorse) is the source of this 394-nucleotide long non-coding RNA. RefSeq lists it as uncharacterized. Lineage: Eukaryota; Metazoa; Chordata; Actinopteri; Syngnathiformes; Syngnathidae. The transcript has 4 exons. The record is from RefSeq and is a predicted model, not a curated record.
AGUCCGGGUCUACCUCUCACCUGAAGUCAACUAGAAGAGAGUCCAGCUCAUCAAUGACCCUAAUGAGGAUAACACCGUAAUUUGAUGGGAUUCAAGCCAAGCUUCUGAAGAUCAAGACCCAUGGCUACCAGCAUCUGGAGCAAGGUGAAAUGGACAGCCUUUGGCUGGAGUUCUGUUGUUGCGAGUGGCUUCCAAGCUCCUGUCCCAGCAGUGCAGGGCCCGUGGUAGAGAAGUGCCUCGAACUUGGAAAGUCAUCCAGUUGCUGAGAGAACAACAAGCAGCUGUUCUUCAUCAAAUAGCCACUGCACAACAAAUAGAGGGGCUGCAGAGAAAACAAAAUGUUACUGUAACCGCAACUGGCAUUUAACUCAGAAAAAGUAAUGCUGAAGAAUGC